Long non-coding RNA from Serinus canaria (Common canary), 1019 nucleotides. RefSeq lists it as uncharacterized. Lineage: Eukaryota; Metazoa; Chordata; Aves; Passeriformes; Fringillidae. The record is from RefSeq and is a predicted model, not a curated record. The transcript has 3 exons.
CUCUGGAUAGAGCCAAGUGGAAAUUGCUGCUAGUGGAUAUGCUACAGCUGCUUGUGACAUUCUGAGAAGGUGGAUAUUUGCAAAUAAUACAGUUCACUUGACCCUCGCUGCUUGGCAAUGAAAGAAAAACAAUCUGAAGUACUUUCUUGGGGUUUUGGGCAGUACUUACUGGAGAUCUGUGUAAGCAAACCACGAUAUAAAUAUGAAAAGAAUUGUAUUCCUCAUGACUGUCCGGUUCUGCACUAUACAGACACUAUGCAGUAAGGAACUACUGGAUAGUUUUGACUCCUGGCACAAUAAGUCAUUGGUGUCAGAAGAAGCCAUUGAUACUGAAAGAAGAUGAAACUGUGUUGUCACACACUAGAGGAAGAAUUGAGAAAACAACUGAAAAAGCAAAAGAUGAAUAUUCUGAACAGAGAAAAUGCAUAGUAAGACUCUGAGGACCUCUAUUCUUUACUCCGAGGCUCAGGUGCUUGUGAUGUGACCUUGGGUAAGUUAUUUAACCUCCCUGGCUUCUAGACUGGAUUUUUUUAUUGCCAAGGUAACUCAGAAGAGGCUCCAGUGAAAUUUGUGCAAUUUUAGCGAGAAGAAAGGGAUUUGAAUGGGGGAGACUUGCCCCCUGUACUUUAUUUUUCAAACCCAAAGUAGGUGUUAUCAUCACUUCCUUCUAGAUUUGUUUUUUAAAGCAUUGUCGUCCCUCCUAUGAAAAGUACAGUACUGAUCUAAAUUUCUGUAUAGAUUAUUGUUUCUGGGAAGCAAUUUCCCUGUCCCUGAUGGUUUCCUAAUACCAAUGCCCUGGAAAGCUAUCACAAUCCAAAAUGGUGUCCUGAUGCCAUCUUAGCACCAGUGCCUGAGAUUUUCCCUGAAGAAGGAACGACAGGUGUGCACUCAAGACGUUGAACUCUUCAGUUCUCUGUGGCUGCAGAGUCCUGCACCAUUUGAGAUUUGUGCUGGGGCAGACCAGAUGUAUCCUCUGUCAUGUCCACUGGUAGUCAGCCUUCAACCCCUACAAAAAACAA